GCACUGGUGAGGAAUCCCAUAAUAGGACGAAACGGCCGUCCAGUAC
Schistosoma mansoni is the source of this 46-nucleotide non-coding RNA. The record is from Rfam. Lineage: Eukaryota; Metazoa; Platyhelminthes; Trematoda; Strigeidida; Schistosomatidae.